RNAcentral lists this small RNA (107 nucleotides) under Marmota monax (woodchuck). Lineage: Eukaryota; Metazoa; Chordata; Mammalia; Rodentia; Sciuridae. The record is from RNAcentral.
GCCAGGCAUGGUAGCACAUGCCUGUAACCCCAGUUACUUGGGAGGCUGAGGCAGGAGUAUCACAAGAUGGUUACCAGCCUCAGCAACUUAAUGAGAUCCUGUCUCAA